GAUGAACGCUGGCGGCGUGCCUAAUACAUGCAAGUCGAGCGAACAGACGAGGAGCUUGCUCCUCUGACGUUAGCGGCGGACGGGUGAGUAACACGUGGAUAACCUACCUAUAAGACUGGGAUAACUUCGGGAAACCGGAGCUAAUACCGGAUAAUAUAUUGAACAGCAUGGUUCAAUAGUGAAAGACGGUUUUGCUGUCACUGAUAGAUGGAUCCGCGCCGCAUUAGCUAGUUGGUAAGGUAACGGCUUACCAAGGCAACGAUGCGUAGCCGACCUGAGAGGGUGAUCGGCCGCACUGGAACUGAGACACGGUCCAGACUCCUACGGGAGGCAGCAGUAGGGAAUCUUCCGCAAUGGGCGAAAGCCUGACGGAGCAACGCCGCGUGAGUGAUGAAGGUCUUCGGAUCGUAAAACUCUGUUAUUAGGGAAGAACAAAUGUGUAAGUAACUAUGCACGUCUUGACGGUACCUAAUCAGAAAGCCACGGCUAACUACGUG
This 497-nucleotide ribosomal RNA is filed under the name uncultured bacterium. Its description in RNAcentral is "partial 16S ribosomal RNA". It matches the Rfam family "Bacterial small subunit ribosomal RNA", at positions 28 to 507 of the family's 1533-position model. The record is from RNAcentral.